GAAUCCGGACUCAUAAUUUCGAAAACAUGCGCCGAAAAUCCUAGAUCUACAAAUGAAGGUGUGAAAGUUUUUACCUCUUUUUCCGGUGCGGUUCCGUUUCCUACUUGCUCCGGUUCGGUUCUUUCUUGCCUUGCUCCGGUUCGGUUCUGCUCUCUUUUCCGGUUCGCCUCUUCCUCUUUUUUUCGGUUCGGUUCUUUCUUGGUUUGGGAUGAUGAUGAUUUGUGGUUGUAUGGGCUGAUUUGAGGUUUUGUUUAAGUUUUGUGUUGCUGGAUUUUGAUGAAUCUAUGAAUGUUCUUCAUGAGUUCAUGUUAUUUCUUUGUAAUUUUAGUGUUUGAUCUGAAAACUGGUUGGAAAAAUGGAAAAAUAGGGUUUGUGAAUUGAUGCUGAUUUUUUUCUGACGUGAACAGUGAUUUUUCGGCCCAUUUCCCAAUGAUUGGACAGUGUAUUUAUAGUGACAAACUAGGGUUGGCUCUGGUACAGAUC
RNAcentral lists this long non-coding RNA (483 nucleotides) under Medicago truncatula (barrel medic). RNAcentral's name for it is "lncRNA gene14909". The record is from RNAcentral. Lineage: Eukaryota; Viridiplantae; Streptophyta; Magnoliopsida; Fabales; Fabaceae.